Non-coding RNA from Caenorhabditis elegans, 139 nucleotides. Lineage: Eukaryota; Metazoa; Nematoda; Chromadorea; Rhabditida; Rhabditidae. The record is from Ensembl.
AGAGGACCUCUUGGGCUCUAAGAUUUCUACUUCUCAGGUUCUUAGCAGCACUCUCAGGUUUCUAACACAACUGCACUUCUUCUUCUCGCGGUCUUCUCAGGCUUCUCAGGCUUGGCUUCUCGCGGUCUGCUCAGGCUCA